CCAGGCCAGCAGCAUCAGCAUCACCUGGAAACUUGUUAGAAAUGCAGAUUCUCAGACCAGCUGACUCCACCUCUGAGAGUGAGACCCAGAGAUCUAUCUCUUCACAAGUACUCCAGGCCACAAAUGCAGAAUCUAUGAUCACAAACAAGGAGGAUGAGCUGAAGUUGACUGAAUACAUCUCCUGCUCUGGCUGAGGAUGGAUGGGAGUGGGGUGAAACUAGCUGCUCACUCCAGAAGAACCUAAAGCAUGUCACACAGUCAAGGACACUUUUCUCUGUAGGCCCUCUGGAUGGAAAAGAAGGGUCGACACCAAAAGCAUGUGCUGGGAGGUAUGUAAGGUUGAAGUUCAAAGGUCAAAUCCAAAUAUGCUCAACGAGAUACUCUGGUUGAACCACAGGAGCUGAGGCCCUGAACCACAGGACCCAGGAAGGUGCAGAGUGAGCAGCAAUAGGCAUAGUUGAUCAGCAUGUGGCCUGGAAAUUUUCCGGAAGGAAAGCACAAUUUUCUUCAACUAUUUUUAUCACGUUCCCAGGGCCUGGCCUAUUUGAUGCAAGAGAUAAAAGAGCACGCAAGGUGGACAUGGUCCCUGACUCCCCGACAAGGGCCUAGAAUCUACUAGACAAGGCUGACCAUUAAAGAACUUAGCCAGCACCUCAGACUCAUCUUUCCAGC
Molecule: long non-coding RNA, 672 nt
Filed under: Homo sapiens (human)
Lineage: Eukaryota; Metazoa; Chordata; Mammalia; Primates; Hominidae
Description: HSALNT0038474
Source: RNAcentral